CGGUGCGCAACACCGCGUUUGUUAGCGCCGCGACGCGGUGCCGGGAGGGCGCACCCCGCGCUCGGCUGCAGAUGCGCCGCUCGCCGCAGGCAGCCCGCGGAAAGGCAGGCUCUGCGGCGACCGACCGCUGGCCCUUCUCCCGGCACAGGGCACCGCAUGGCCCGCAGUGCUGCCACGGAACGCUCUCCUCACGUAGCAGCGUAGCGUCCCGCUCGUACCGCAGCCGGAGCCAACGCACCGGCACCCGGCUCGUACAGAGGGAGAGAAAGAGAGAGCGCUGCUCGUUGGAGAGGCACCGCACGCACAGCUUCUAAGGCUGCCUCGGAUUUAUGCGUGGCUCAGAAAAGUACCGUUUUCAUGUGCUUUUCUGGUACAGAGCUGUGGUUACACGGUAAUUUACCAGCAGACCAAAUACGCGCAUGCUUAAUUUGUACCAAACGACUACAAGAACCAGUUCAGUGAUGAAUGCUAGGAAAAAAAGACAAAAAAACACAUAAGAGAACAGAACAAACCCACUUGUGACACGAUGUUAGAACUUCCUUCCAGAACUCAUAUCCCUCCCAGGAGAAGCAGGUAAGGAAGUACUGAUGGAGAAGACAAAGCCCUGCCCAACAGCUGAGGCAGCAGUAACUCUGCCAAAUCUCAGGUCUUCGAAUUCCCAGUCCUUCACUUCAAAAACAUUACACAGAUAACAGUCACAGAAGACAAUACUCCACUCUCAGGAAGGAUGCUCUCUACCAGGUAACCUUCAGGACUGAAGAGGCAGAAUGUUAUCUCGUGCUGGCUUCAACAUGGCAUCACACAAAAUCCUCUGACUUCAUCAGUGUGCCUAACUACAGAGAUUCAGACUGCUGAUAAAGCAUUUUAAGCAAAGUUAGCAGGACAACAUUCAAGGGAGUUCAGGCUAUGUGAUUUUUUUUGUUACCAUUGUUACAAACCUUCAAUUAAUUACAGCAAUAGCUGACAUCCUUUUAGUUUUU
Molecule: long non-coding RNA, 980 nt
Filed under: Gallus gallus (chicken)
Lineage: Eukaryota; Metazoa; Chordata; Aves; Galliformes; Phasianidae
Description: long non-coding RNA NONGGAT011898
Source: RNAcentral